UUAGGUGAAAUUAAUGUAGGACCUACACUUCGGAAAUGGAACUCACAUAAAGUAGUGGGACAUACAUUGAUUUCACCCAA
Molecule: microRNA precursor, 80 nt
Filed under: Medicago truncatula (barrel medic)
Lineage: Eukaryota; Viridiplantae; Streptophyta; Magnoliopsida; Fabales; Fabaceae
Description: MIR5269 microRNA precursor family
Rfam family: MIR5269 microRNA precursor family
Source: Rfam by way of RNAcentral